AUCCAGCUAACGAGUCCCAAAUGGGACGAAAGGCGUGUCCCGGAU
This is a non-coding RNA of Schistosoma haematobium, 45 nucleotides long. NCBI's taxonomy places the organism in Eukaryota, Metazoa, Platyhelminthes, Trematoda, Strigeidida, Schistosomatidae. The record is from Rfam.